Molecule: ribosomal RNA, 1501 nt
Filed under: uncultured bacterium
Lineage: Bacteria
Description: 16S ribosomal RNA
Rfam family: Bacterial small subunit ribosomal RNA
Source: RNAcentral
UAGAGUUUGAUCAUGGCUCAGGAUGAACGCUAGCGACAGGCUUAACACAUGCAAGUCGAGGGGCAGCGGGGGUGAUGGCUUGCCAUCACCUGCUGGCGACCGGCGCACGGGUGAGUAACACGUAUGCAACCUGCCCGCCACAGGGGGAUAAGCGGAAGAAAUUCCGUCUAAUACCGCGUGACGCGGCGUCGGGGCAUCCCGGUGCCGCCAAAGGGAUUACCGGUGGCGGAUGGGCAUGCGGCGCAUUAGCUAGUCGGCGGGGUAACGGCCCACCGAGGCGACGAUGCGUAGGGGUUCUGAGAGGAAGGUCCCCCACACUGGUACUGAGACACGGACCAGACUCCUACGGGAGGCAGCAGUGAGGAAUAUUGGUCAAUGGGCGCGAGCCUGAACCAGCCAAGUCGCGUGAGGGAAGACGGUCCUAUGGAUUGUAAACCUCUUUUGUCGGGGAGCAAAAGACGCCACGCGUGGCGUUCCGAGAGUACCCGAAGAAAAAGCAUCGGCUAACUCCGUGCCAGCAGCCGCGGUAAUACGGAGGAUGCGAGCGUUAUCCGGAUUUAUUGGGUUUAAAGGGUGCGCAGGCGGAAGAUCAAGUCAGCGGUAAAAUUGAGAGGCUCAACCUCUUCGAGCCGUUGAAACUGGUUUUCUUGAGUGAGCGAGAAGUAUGCGGAAUGCGUGGUGUAGCGGUGAAAUGCAUAGAUAUCACGCAGAACUCCGAUUGCGAAGGCAGCAUACCGGCGCUCAACUGACGCUCAUGCACGAAAGUGUGGGUAUCGAACAGGAUUAGAUACCCUGGUAGUCCACACAGUAAACGAUGAAUACUAAUUGUUCGGGGAGAAUGAUCCCUGAGUGAUACAGCGAAAGCGUUAAGUAUUCCACCUGGGGAGUACGCCGGCAACGGUGAAACUCAAAGGAAUUGACGGGGGCCCGCACAAGCGGAGGAACAUGUGGUUUAAUUCGAUGAUACGCGAGGAACCUUACCCGGGCUCAAACGACACAGGAAUACUUUUGAAAGGAAGUAGCUCUACGGAGCCUGUGUCGAGGUGCUGCAUGGUUGUCGUCAGCUCGUGCCGUGAGGUGUCGGCUUAAGUGCCAUAACGAGCGCAACCCCCAUCGCCAGUUACCAGCAAGUCAAGUUGGGGACUCUGGCGAGACUGCCGGCGCAAGCUGUGAGGAAGGCGGGGAUGACGUCAAAUCAGCACGGCCCUUACGUCCGGGGCGACACACGUGUUACAAUGGCAGGUACAGAGAGAAGCAAUGCGGCGACGCAAAGCGGAACUUGAAAGCCUGUCUCAGUUCGGAUUGGAGUCUGCAACUCGACUCCAUGAAGCUGGAUUCGCUAGUAAUCGCGCAUCAGCCAUGGCGCGGUGAAUACGUUCCCGGGCCUUGUACACACCGCCCGUCAAGCCAUGGAAGCCGGGAGUGCCUGAAGUGUGCAACCGCAAGGAGCGCCCUAAGGUAAAACUGGUGACUGGGGCUAAGUCGUAACAAGGUAGCCGUA